This 496-nucleotide ribosomal RNA is filed under the name uncultured Eubacteriales bacterium. RNAcentral's name for it is "bacterial SSU rRNA". It matches the Rfam family "Bacterial small subunit ribosomal RNA", at positions 28 to 523 of the family's 1533-position model. Lineage: Bacteria; Bacillati; Bacillota; Clostridia; Eubacteriales. The record is from RNAcentral.
GACGAACGCUGGCGGCGUGCUUAACACAUGCAAGUCGAACGAUGAAAGAGAAUCCGAUCUCUUCGGAGUGAAGAAUCUCUGGAUUAGUGGCGGACGGGUGAGUAACGCGUGAGCAAUCUGCCUUACACAAAGGGAUAGCCUCGGGAAACCGGGAUUAAUACCAUAUGAUAUCUAUUAACCGCAUGGUUUAUAGAUUAAAGAAUUUCGGUGUAAGAUGAGCUCGCGUCCCAUUAAUUAGUUGGUGAGGGUAACGGCCCACCAAGAUAGCGAUGGGUAGCCGAUCUAAGAGGAUGACCGGCCACAUUGGAACUGAGAAACGGUCCAAACUCCUACGGGAGGCAGCAGUGGGGAAUAUUGCACAAUGGGGGAAACCCUGAUGCAGCGACGCCGCGUGAGCGAUGAAGGCUUUCGAGUCGUAAAGCUCUGUCCUAUGGGAAGAUAAUGACGGUACCAUAGAAGAAAGCCCCGGCUAAUUACGUGCCAGCAGCCGCGGUAA